RNAcentral lists this transfer RNA (84 nucleotides) under Prevotella sp. RNAcentral describes it as "tRNA-Leu". It matches the Rfam family "tRNA". Rfam says of the family: Transfer RNA (tRNA) molecules are approximately 80 nucleotides in length. Lineage: Bacteria; Pseudomonadati; Bacteroidota; Bacteroidia; Bacteroidales; Prevotellaceae. The record is from RNAcentral.
GCGCACGUGGUGGAAUUGGUAGACACGCUACUUUGAGGGGGUAGUGUCCGUAAGGAUGUGUGAGUUCAAAUCUCGUCGUGCGCA